Molecule: long non-coding RNA, 829 nt
Organism: Dreissena polymorpha
Lineage: Eukaryota; Metazoa; Mollusca; Bivalvia; Myida; Dreissenidae
Exons: 2
Source: RefSeq, a predicted model, not a curated record
CCUAUAGAUACAAAACAAAAAACCAAAAGAAGAAUGGAAGUGAAAUAAAAACAUACUAGUCAACCGGCCACACGAGAAGUAUCCGUAUUUAUAGGCGCGUUCUUCGAACAAACCUGUUUUAGUGGUUUGAUUCGAUUAUUAACAGUAUCGAUAAUCAUCGCGCUCAUGCUUAAUACAUUGGUCAAUAUGGUGGAAUAAUUAUUGUUAAAUUAAUCAAAAAUAAUAUUUAUCAUUGUUUUGUUGAAAACACAUUAAGAAUCUACAUAUUUCUGGUCUAAAGAAAAUUCCAGGUCACCUAGUUCACGGAUAGCGUAUUUAUUAUAUAACUAUUAUUUUACUGGCCGCGAACUCCGGAGAUGACCUGUAUAUAAACUCUGACAUUCAUACACUGGCCGCGAAUUGACCCGGGUUGAAAUGCAAUGUAUUAAAGUGAGGCCUCGCUUCCACUGCUCUUUAUACUUUUACAUGUUAACAUGUUGACAAGAAUAUGGAAGUAAGUACUAAAUAUGAGAACAUAGCCUUUAAAUAUAAACGCGUUGCGCUGGUAAUUCUCUGAAAAUAAAAGGUGUACGCACAAACUGUAUUUAUGUCGAGAAUUGAGUGUAAAACUGUUCUAUCUAUUAAGCCUUUUCAUUAGAAAUAAAAUUGUUUCAUGCAGUAAAACAGUGUUACAAAGACGCGGAUAUGUUUCCAAUGUUCUGGUGGAAUACUCAAAUCAGCCAAUGGAAUAAAUGAAGUGUAUUCAUUCGUACCUAGCCGCGGGAAAUUUUAUUUGAAUUUUAUUGGACACUUACAAAGGUCAGGAGAGGUGAAAAGCUGGCUUAAUUCA